Triticum aestivum (bread wheat) is the source of this 870-nucleotide long non-coding RNA. RefSeq lists it as uncharacterized. The record is from RefSeq and is a predicted model, not a curated record. Lineage: Eukaryota; Viridiplantae; Streptophyta; Magnoliopsida; Poales; Poaceae. The transcript has 6 exons.
CAACGGCUGGAGAUGCUCUAAUUCAUUGUAUUUGCAUGUUUCCAGCAGCCAUGUAUCAAAAAAAGCUUCAGCUUUGGGUUGUUGAUUUAGCAGCAUCAAUCAUUAAUUGUUCUGCUAUAUAUGUUCUUAACCAUGACAACCUGAUUAGGCUCUUAGUUUAUUAUGGUCUUUGUUCUGGGUGGAUCUCUGACUAUUCUGGGUUGCUCCGAUGAGGACAAGCUGCUUCUGCAGGUGGACGGGCCCUCAAGGCUGCUCUGCCUAUUCCUCCUGCUACCCCCACAUGUGCGAACACAAAGCCGUCGAUGCAUUGAGGGCUCAAUGUCGUCUCCGCCGGCUGAGCGGCAAGCCGGUGUUGGGCCUGCACACCGUCUAUCAGCACCCUCCCGUGUCUCCAUUCACGGAUCUGCAGAUCUGAGGAAGGAGGGGAGGAAUAAUCUCGCGGGAGAGUUCGGUGUAGUGGAAGAAGAACAAGAUAUUAUUUAUUUCUUGUGAACAGUCAAGCUUGUGCAUUGUCCCACUUUCUGGGGCCAGGCAACCUUGAAUCCAACGUCCACCUGCAGGCUACAUCUCAGGGAGGAGCCGGGCGACAAGGCAGUCAGACCAAACUCUCUAUCCAUAUAUAUAGGUAGUCUGAUGUUAUGCCAUAGCCGAACCAUAUAUGUUUCGUGUACUGCUCUAUCAAUCUGGUCUUUUUGUAUAUUAGACUCUAUCCAUUGUAAUGAACUUAUUGUCAUGGGCGAUCAUUAUGACUGGAUCGUAUGGUAUGAAUCGGGUCUUUAUGCUUUGUGAUGAAAUAUAAUAUUAUCCUGUUCACCAGUUUGGUUUGGUUUUGAGCUAAAACGUAUAAAAAUACAUGGCUUACAACAAUGG